Molecule: ribosomal RNA, 506 nt
Filed under: uncultured bacterium
Lineage: Bacteria
Description: partial 16S ribosomal RNA
Rfam family: Bacterial small subunit ribosomal RNA
Source: RNAcentral
AUUGAACGCUGGCGGCAGGCCUAACACAUGCAAGUCGAACGGCAGCGGGGGGUAGCUUGCUACCUCGCCGGCGAGUGGCGGACGGGUGAGUAAUGCCUGGGGAGCUGCCCAGUCGAGGGGGAUACCAGUUGGAAACGACUGCUAAUACCGCAUACGCCCUGAGGGGGAAAGAUGGGGAUCUUCGGACCUAUCGCGAUUGGAUGCACCCAGGUGGGAUUAGCUAGUUGGUGAGGUAACGGCUCACCAAGGCGACGAUCUCUAGCUGGUCUGAGAGGAUGACCAGCCACACUGGAACUGAGACACGGUCCAGACUCCUACGGGAGGCAGCAGUGGGGAAUAUUGCACAAUGGGGGAAACCCUGAUGCAGCCAUGCCGCGUGUGUGAAGAAGGCCUUCGGGUUGUAAAGCACUUUCAGCGGGGAGGAAGGGGAGCAAGCUAAUACCUUGUUUCAUUGACGUUACCCGCAGAAGAAGCACCGGCUAACUCCGUGCCAGCCGCCGCAGUAA